RNAcentral lists this ribosomal RNA (464 nucleotides) under uncultured Klebsiella sp. RNAcentral's name for it is "bacterial SSU rRNA". It matches the Rfam family "Bacterial small subunit ribosomal RNA", at positions 338 to 795 of the family's 1533-position model. Lineage: Bacteria; Pseudomonadati; Pseudomonadota; Gammaproteobacteria; Enterobacterales; Enterobacteriaceae. The record is from RNAcentral.
CCUACGGGAGGCAGCAGUGGGGAAUAUUGCACAAUGGGCGCAAGCCUGAUGCAGCCAUGCCGCGUGUGUGAAGAAGGCCUUCGGGUUGUAAAGCGCUUUCAGCGGGGAGGAAGGCGUUAAGGUUAAUAACCUUGGCGAUUGACGUUACCCGCAGAAGAAGCACCGGCUAACUCCGUGCCAGCAGCCGCGGUAAUACGGAGGGUGCAAGCGUUAAUCGGAAUUACUGGGCGUAAAGCGCACGCAGGCGGUCUGUCAAGUCGGAUGUGAAAUCCCCGGGCUCAACCUGGGAACUGCAUUCGAAACUGGCAGGCUAGAGUCUUGUAGAGGGGGGGAGAAUUCCAGGUGUAGCGGUGAAAUGCGUAGAGAUCUGGAGGAAUACCGGUGGCGAAGGCGGCCCCCUGGACAAAGACUGACGCUCAGGUGCGAAAGCGUGGGGAGCAAACAGGAUUAAUACCCGGGUAGUC